UACGAAGGGGGCAAGCGUUAUUCGGAUUCAUUGGGCGUAAAGGGCGCGUAGGUGGUCGGGUAAGUCCGGUGUGAAAACGCUACCGCUCAACGGAGCGAAUGCGCUGGAUACUGCUCGACUUGAGUACGGAAGAGGUAAGCGGAAUACCCGGUGUAGCGGUGGAAUGCUCAGAGAUCGGGUAGAACACCUGUGGCGAAGGCGGCUUACUGGUCCGGUACUGACACUGAGGCGCGAAAGCGUGGGGAGCAAACGGG
Molecule: ribosomal RNA, 254 nt
Filed under: uncultured bacterium
Lineage: Bacteria
Description: partial 16S ribosomal RNA
Rfam family: Bacterial small subunit ribosomal RNA
Source: RNAcentral